GACGAACGCUGGCGGCGUGCUUAACACAUGCAAGUCGAACGGAAAGGCCCUGCUUGCAGGGUACUCGAGUGGCGAACGGGUGAGUAACACGUGGGUGAUCUGCCCUGCAUUUCGGGAUAAGCUUGGGAAACUGGGUCUAAUACCGGAUAGGAGCCAUCUUUAGUGUGGUGGUUGGAAAGUUUUUUCGGUGUAGGAUGAGCUCGCGGCCUAUCAGCUUGUUUGUGGGGUAAUGGCCUACCAAGGCGGCGACGGGUAGCCGGCCUGAGAGGGUGUACGGCCACCUUGAGAACUGGCUACGGCCCAAGACACCUACGGAGGGAGCAAUGGGGAAUAUUUCCACAUGGGCGCAAGCCUGAUGCAGCGACGCCGCGUGGGGGAUGAAGGCCUUCGGGUUGUAAACUCCUUUCGCUAGGGACGAAGCUUUUUUGUGACGGUACCUAGAUAAGAAGCACCGGCUAACUACGUG
This 466-nucleotide ribosomal RNA is filed under the name uncultured bacterium. Its description in RNAcentral is "partial 16S ribosomal RNA". It matches the Rfam family "Bacterial small subunit ribosomal RNA", at positions 28 to 507 of the family's 1533-position model. The record is from RNAcentral.